UACGAAGGGGGCUAGCGUUGCUCGGAAUGACUGGGCGUAAAGGGCGCGUAGGCGGUUGGCACAGUCAGAUGUGAAAUUCCUGGGCUGAACCUGGGGGCUGCAUUUGAUACGUGUGAUCUGGAGUGAGGAAGAGGGUUGUGGAAUUCCCAGUGUAGAGGUGAAAUUCGUAGAUAUUGGGAAGAACACCGGUGGCGAAGGCGGCUAUCUGGACCGUAACUGACGCUGAGGCGCGAAGGCGUGGGGAGCAAACAGG
Molecule: ribosomal RNA, 253 nt
Filed under: uncultured bacterium
Lineage: Bacteria
Description: partial 16S ribosomal RNA
Rfam family: Bacterial small subunit ribosomal RNA
Source: RNAcentral